Propithecus coquereli (Coquerel's sifaka) is the source of this 1321-nucleotide long non-coding RNA. RefSeq lists it as uncharacterized. The record is from RefSeq and is a predicted model, not a curated record. The transcript has 3 exons. NCBI's taxonomy places the organism in Eukaryota, Metazoa, Chordata, Mammalia, Primates, Indriidae.
UCUGGCUCCCGCACUCGAGCUGUCAUGGUUCCGGGAAACGGUCCCCAGAUGCGGAAGGAGCCGGUAGCCACCCAUCCCCGCCCAGGGAAGAGAACGCCUGUGUAGAAAUGACUAAGAACAGAUCUGAGAGUGACCUCAGGUGACCUGUGUUAACCUCUCGGAACUCUAACCGGGGCGCGCUGUGCGUCCUGCGGAACGAGGCUCCGCUGACACAAGGCAAGUUCCCAGACUGGUGUUUGGCAGCGAGUGCAGCGCUUUGGGGUUGAGAGAACCCCUUUACCCUGGGCUGCCCCGGCCGGAGAACACCUGCCAUGGAGGUCGGGCAAGUCACCCCCUGCUCUGACUCCAGGCUCACCAAGAGUCCCGAAAGCAGCUGGGCGCCCAACCAAGAUGUGCCAACUAGGAGAGAAGAACUAGAUUUGCAACACAGCAUCCAGUGGGCUUGCUCUCAUCCCUUCAAUCAACAAAGUGCCCCUAUCAAGCCAUCUUCUUGAUCCCUGCUUCACACCGAGCAUCUGUCCUGGAACCUCCCGGAGACACUAGCCUUCAUGCUCUGCGGAGGAUUCUGCUCGCAGAGUUGGCCUGUGGCGCAGCAAGGUGGACUCAGUGAGCAGUAAGCGUGCCGUCUGAUGCACACACUUGAAGAAGCCUUGCUUCAGUCAAAAUGGUCAGCCCAGUCUCAGGGCGGUUUUGCGCCCUCUAUGACCUCUGAUUUCCUUCUGCACAAAACGUAAAGCUCGGAACAUGAUAGAAACGUUGUCCUCCUCCUGCCGGACGGCCCUGCUGCCUCCCCCGCGCGCAGUGGCAGCCAGACAGACAUGGCCGCCUCCAGCGAGCGUCCCUCCAGACCACACGUUUCCUCGCUGCUUCCACGCCCCCUUCCUAAGCGCACCUGGAGACCUGGGACUAAGUGGCCAUGCUGGGGCUCCCCGUGCUCACGCACACGCUCAGAGCAGGGGCCUCUGGGAGGCCGGGGAUAGCCGCCUGGAAGGCCAGCCGCAGACGCUCAUUCAUGUGCAGAGACACUUUAAAAGUCAGAGGGCAAAUCUUGCAGUCUGGGGUGGUAUUCCUUUUAAGGAGAGAAAACAUGCACUCAUAAUUUUGAAUUCUUUUUCUCCGUAUUUUUAGAACUAGGAAAUACUGACUUUUCCUGGAGUGACCUUAAAGUUACCAGGUGACAAAAGCAACCUCAUUUGCCUACGCACACAGCCUGCCCUGUGUUCACUCCCACAUCCACGGGGACAUUCAGUUGAGUCUGUCCUCCCUGGGGACUAUUACAAGGUUAGCACUCUCAGGCCAGGCUCAGUGUCUCACGCCUAGG